CCCUUAGAUGUUCUGGGCCGCACGCGCGCUACACUGAUGCAUUCAACGAGCCUAUCCUUGACCGACAGGUCCGGGUAAUCUUUGAAUCUGCAUCGUGACGGGGAUAGAUUAUUGCAAUUAUUAAUCUUCAACGAGGAAUGCCUAGUAAGCGUGAUUCAUCAAAUCGCGUUGAUUACGUCCCUGCCCUUUGUACACACCGCCCGUCGCUCCUACCGAUUGAGUGUGUUGGUGAGGAGUUUGGAUUGGCCUCGGUAGGUGGUUCGCCACCGUCCGUAGCUGAGAAGUUCUCCAAACCGCCCCACUUAGAGGAAGGAGAAGUCGUAACA
RNAcentral lists this ribosomal RNA (326 nucleotides) under uncultured eukaryote. RNAcentral describes it as "partial 18S ribosomal RNA". It matches the Rfam family "Eukaryotic small subunit ribosomal RNA", at positions 1470 to 1796 of the family's 1831-position model. The record is from RNAcentral.